AAGCAGGACUCAGACUACAAUAAAGCUGUUAAAUGUUGUGUUGUCAUUCCCCCUGCUCAAAAUCAAGCUGUUUCUUACCUAUACCUGUUGGCUCUGCCCCUGUAGUGGCCAGGGGUUCAUGGUCUCAUACAU
RNAcentral lists this small nucleolar RNA (132 nucleotides) under Sciurus vulgaris (Eurasian red squirrel). RNAcentral's name for it is "Small nucleolar RNA SNORA63 (ENSSVLG00005023535.1)". It matches the Rfam family "Small nucleolar RNA SNORA63". Rfam says of the family: E3 belongs to the H/ACA class of snoRNAs and is involved in the processing of eukaryotic pre-rRNA and has regions of complementarity to 18S rRNA. The record is from Rfam by way of RNAcentral. Lineage: Eukaryota; Metazoa; Chordata; Mammalia; Rodentia; Sciuridae.